CUGCACUGCCUGAAGAAUAUUUGUCUGUCCGGCCUGACAGGCUGCCACCACGUAUCGAGCAUGCUCCAGGGAUUUUUCUCAGCAUCAGAAAGCUUACUAUCAGGCAUGGGAAUUUACAAGCUUUCCGACGAGGCUGAAGAAAGCCAGGAAACCACAAUGACAGAUCCACUUGAACAGACCAUUUCAUGAGAGUGAUUUGAGAAAAUAAAAAAU
RNAcentral lists this long non-coding RNA (213 nucleotides) under Anas platyrhynchos platyrhynchos (common mallard). RNAcentral's name for it is "lncRNA (ENSAPLG00000019527.1)". The record is from RNAcentral. Lineage: Eukaryota; Metazoa; Chordata; Aves; Anseriformes; Anatidae.